GGAGACCUUCGCGUGGAUGUACUAUUACUGGUACCUUACCAACGACGGCAUCGAGUUCCUCCGCACGUACCUCAAUUUGCCGUCUGAGAUUGUGCCAGCUACGCUGAAGAAGUCGGCGAAGCCGCCUUCUCGUCCGUUUGGAGCUGGGCCGCCUGGUGACCGCCCGAGGGGGCCGCCGCGGUUUGAGGGUGAUAGGCCGAGGUUUGGAGAUAGGGACGGGUACCGCGGAGGACCGAGGGCUGGAGGCGAUUUUGGGGAGAAGGGUGGUGCUCCUGCGGAGUACAAUCCUGGCUUUAGGGGUACUGGGGGCAGACCUGGAUUUGGUCGUGGCGGUGGUGGUGCCUUUGGGGCUGGUCCUGCUUCUUCCCUUGAGCAGUAGGUUUUGGCCAUAUUUCCAUUUUAUGGGUUAUAUUUUGAUCUUUCUGAAACUGUGUAGUGGCUAGUUUCAUUUAAUCUUCUUCACUUGGAUGAGAUUUGUGUUGAGGCUAGUUGUUUCUUUGAUGUUCUAGACAUUCCCUGUUUUUCGACUCA
RNAcentral lists this unclassified non-coding RNA (531 nucleotides) under Hevea brasiliensis (rubber tree). The record is from RNAcentral. Lineage: Eukaryota; Viridiplantae; Streptophyta; Magnoliopsida; Malpighiales; Euphorbiaceae.